Molecule: long non-coding RNA, 3750 nt
Filed under: Sus scrofa (pig)
Lineage: Eukaryota; Metazoa; Chordata; Mammalia; Artiodactyla; Suidae
Description: lncRNA (ENSSSCG00050011614.1)
Source: RNAcentral
ACGCGUGGAAUCACGGACCGGGCGCGGACGCCGGGCUCUUCUGCCCCCUGCUCUUACGGUGGUGGGGAAUGAGAAGGGACCUACUAGAAGUGGCCCAAGAUGAAUCCCCAACAGCAGCGCAUGGCCGCUAUAGGGACCGACAAGGAGCUGAGCGACCUGCUGGACUUCAGUGCGAUGUUUUCUCCACCUGUUAAUAGUGGGAAAACCAGACCAACGACACUGGGAAGCAGUCAGUUCAGCGGAUCAGGUAAGAUCAUGUUUAAAAAUCAGAAACUCGUAUUUUGGCGUUGCGAUACAUCUUGGUAGAAAAAUACGAGGUAUUUUAAUAUUUUUCUUUAAGUUCGUCUUAAAAUUAUAAACAAAAACAAGCCCUUAAAUGUGGGCUGUUGCUCUAAAGAUCCAUUGACUUUUAAGAAUUUCAAUAUGAAUUUAAAAAUUGUUCUCUUUUCUGUGAUUUUUUAAAUUGAAAAUUGCUUUGCUUGAAUACAAGGGAUUUUAUCAUGCCUCUAUGUUUAGGAAAGUAUCAGAAGAAAGUGCUCUGUAGCCCAUGUGUGGUAUUUUUUGUUUAUUUAAACAUGUGUAUUUUAAAAUUUUGCUAAAAAUUUAGCACAUUAGCAUUAUUAAACCUUUGGAUUCUAAAAAAUUGGUAAAAUAAUUCUAUUUAAAAUAUAUGUGUGAAAAGUGGAAUUGAGUCAAGCAAUAAUUAGACUUGUUUUAAAAGAUGGCUAUUCCUUUGGAGGUCUGUAGCAAAUUAACAAUUUUGUAUACAGUUAUUUGGAAUAUUACAAAUAAAUGAAUAGAAAGUGAGUAUGCUUUCAAAUAACACCUAUGAGAUAAGUGCAUUCUGACCUACGUUCACAUUACAUUAGGAUAACGUUUAGAGUAAGUUAAAUUAGAGUCCUAUUCUUUUUGUCUUUUGUCUUUAGAUUUACUUUCUGUAUAUUUACAACUACUCUGCUUUAUUAUUAACAUUUAUCUCACAUUUCUUAAGUAUGCUUUUUUUUUGUUUGUUUGUUUUUCUUACUCAUUUAAACUCAUGAUUAAAAAAAACAAACGUUCCAGAAGCAGGGUCCAUUCUAAUGCACAAAAGCUAUAAUUUUCUCUUUAACUUAGAUUUACUCCUUAGGGCUCAGAGAUGAAAAAAAAAAUAACCAAGGCCAAGACAGCAUUAUCUUUUAAGAAAACCAGCUGUCAGAUUUCUAGGCUGAAACUCAGUAAUUCCUUUUUGUUUGGUGCUUUUUUAUUUUCCCUAGUAAAAUGAUAGUUGAUUUCUUAAGAUAAUGUGAGAGCAAAACAUGAGAAAAGAAGGUGAAUUUCAUAACCAGUUUAUUUAUACUACUUUACAUUAAAAAAAAUGUUCCAAUUCAAAAACCAUACACUAACUUAAUUUACUGAAGUUCAUUUUUAAUGAUGAAAUUUUGCUUUAGGGGAAUAUAUACCAUGUUGUUUAACAUCUCAGAGAAGUAAAAUAAAAACAUUUUGGAUUUUAAAUAUUCUAAAGACUAAUAUUAUUCUUUAUCAAAAGGGUAUCAUAAAAUGUCACUAAACCCCAGCUAUUUUCCCACCUCCAUCCAUUUAUUGGUAAUGAUUUGGAAAAAUCAUCACUUUUUGGGGUUGAGGAGAGGAAAUUAUUAGUUAAUAUGGAAGAAAGCUAAGACGUCUUCUCUUUCUUUACUACUAUGAGUGCAUCUCAGUUUUUGCAACUAAUCAUUCUCAAGAACUUUCAAAUUUACUUUGUCUAGUAUAUAGUAGAUACUUAGUAUAUUUCAUUAAAUGACUAGUGAUACUGCUGUUUGAAGCUGUUUUGGAUUGAAUUGGAGAAAAUAUGUUUCAUUGACAUUGAUAUCAAGGACAUGAACUUUGGAAACUUGCUAUUAUAAAUACUGUCUUUUUAGAAUAAGGGCAACUUUUUUUUUUUUUACUUUUUAAAUUUAAGAAGGUAUAAUAUAUGUAGUCUGAAAUUAAGUGUAGUGAACUUGGUGUGUCUUAACUAGUAUGGCAUUGAAGCAGUUGUGGGUCCUUCUUUAUGUAGCAUGCAUUAUACAAAGAAAUAAUUAUUUUUCUACAUCGUAGAAGUGGUUGUUAAAUUUGAUUCUUUGGCUCAGGAAAUUUUUAGUUUUAAAACUGUUAGAUUUGUUAUUUAUCCAUUGAAAAUUUAACUUGAAUAUGUAUCUGUGUCUUAUUUAAAUUUCAGGAAAAAAUUUAAUUAUAGUUUUAAAAAAAGCUAUGAUUUUUGGUAAUUAGUGAAUAGAUUUCAGGGAGGGGAAAAUAGCAAAGUGAUUAUUUUAUAUGAAAGUAUAUUGGUAAAUAUGGCUCUGUAGCCAUUUCUUAAAGGAAAUGUCUGAAAGAGAUUGGUAUAGCAGUAUUAUUUUAUUUAUAUAUUUUAUUGACACUUUACUCAUCUUCUGUCCUGAUGUCAAAGGAUGUGUAACAUGUCUUCAUGCUUGUUUAUUUGUAGCAAGUAAGGACCUAAAGAUAAGACUUUCCUUCUAACGAGGUGACUUAGAGUUAUCUUUUUUUUUUUUUGUCUUUUUAGCUAUUUCUUGGGCCGCUCCCGCGGCAUAUGGAGAUUCCCAGGCUAGACUUAGAGUUAUCUUGUUUUUGGAGUAGCAUUUGUAAAACCCCAGGUAUAAUUUCUGUUGAUUAUCCAUUUUGAGGAUGAGUUAAUUUCACAGAAUAUGCUAUAAUACAGGAUGUUAUUUUAAAAUCUUAUUCCAAAAGCAAAAUAUAACUUGAAUGAUAGCUGACACUUCGUCAAAAAUUGCUAUGGGAAAGAUUAAUGUGUCUUUUCUGUUAAUUUGUCUUGAGGAGUUGGUUAUAGUCCUAUUUUUUCAUCAAGGGUGUUAAUUUUCUUUGCAUUAUGAUAAGACUGAAUAUGUCCGCUUGGUAUGAUAGCCACGAGGUAUCAGUGACCUUGAGAGAGGGGUUUCUCUCUGUAGGAGUUAAAGGUGAGGCACUUUGUAGGGCACAGUGUGUAAGAGGAAAGCUUGUUGAAAGGAUUGACAGACUGGAAAUAGUUCAAGUGUUUAAAUCCACUGUCCCUCCAACUUCAGUGUGUAGAACUAAAUUGUGAUAUUGGGUUUAAUUUUUAGUAGUUUAAAUGUUUACAUGAUAUCCGAAAGAUUUCUUUUGUUAGUUUUUGAAUCCAAGUAAUAAGAGAUGUUGAGAGUGGGAUGUUUUGUUUUGUAAGAGGUCUGUAUGUAUUGAGUCUGUCUCAUGUUUCUACCUAGAGAGUUAUUUUAGCUAGCAAAUAAAAUUUUUACUAUUUCUUGUUCAAAUCAGACUUUUGUUACACUAUAGAUUUCUUCUUGCUCAAGAUUUUCAGAAUUAGUUAUAAACUAUUUUCUACCUCUUAAUUUUAAAAAGGAAUACAAUUUUUCAUUCUUCAGAUACUGAUUAGUUUUGGUGGGGGAUUUUAACAUGUACGUAUAGGGUUUUUGAAAAUGUUAAUACAGGGCCAGAAAAAUGGAUUCUUACUAAAUUGCUCUUCAGUAAUUUUUUAAAUUAAACUUUUUGUUUUGAGAUAAUUGUAAAUUCAUAUGCAGUUGUAAGAAGCAAUACAGAGAUCCUACUUACAGUUUCCCAUGUUUCCUGUAAUGGUAACAGCCUGCAAAACUGUGUACAGUAUCAUAGCUAGGUUAUUGACAGUGAUGCAGUCAGGAUUCCAUGAACAAUUCAUCAUCACAAGGAUCUCUGGUGUUUCCCUAUUAUAACUGUGUCUACUUCUCAAGUAAUUAAAAAAAAAAAAAA